This 631-nucleotide ribosomal RNA is filed under the name Symploca sp. 1704-16. RNAcentral describes it as "bacterial SSU rRNA". It matches the Rfam family "Bacterial small subunit ribosomal RNA", at positions 115 to 779 of the family's 1533-position model. Lineage: Bacteria; Bacillati; Cyanobacteriota; Cyanophyceae; Coleofasciculales; Coleofasciculaceae. The record is from RNAcentral.
GCGUGAGAAUCUGCCUUAGGGUCGGGGACAACCACUGGAAACGGUGGCUAAUACCGGAUAAGCCGAGAGGUAAAAGAGAAAUUGCCCAAAGAGGAGCUCGCGUCUGAUUAGCUAGUUGGUGGGGUAAAAGCCUACCAAGGCAGCGAUCAGUAGCUGGUCUAAGAGGAUGAGCAGCCACACUGGGACUGAGACACGGCCCAGACUCCUACGGGAGGCAGCAGUGGGGAAUUUUCCGCAAUGGGCGAAAGCCUGACGGAGCAAUACCGCGUGAGGGAGGAAGGCUCUUGGGUCGUAAACCUCUUUUGUCAGGGAAGAAGCAAGUGACGGUACCUGACGAAUCAGCAUCGGCUAACUCCGUGCCAGCAGCCGCGGUAAUACGGAGGAUGCAAGCGUUAUCCGGAAUUAUUGGGCGUAAAGCGUCCGCAGGUGGCUCAUCAAGUCUGCUGUCAAAAACCGGGGCUCAACCCCGGAGGGGCAGUGGAAACUGAGGAGCUAGAGUGCAGGAGGGGUAGAGGGAAUUCCCGGUGUAGCGGUGAAAUGCGUAGAGCUCGGGAAGAACAUCGGUGGCGAAAGCGCUCUACUGGACUGCAACUGACACUCAGGGACGAAAGCUAGGGGAGCGAAUGGGAUU